Neopsephotus bourkii (Bourke's parrot) is the source of this 558-nucleotide long non-coding RNA. RefSeq lists it as uncharacterized. Lineage: Eukaryota; Metazoa; Chordata; Aves; Psittaciformes; Psittacidae. The record is from RefSeq and is a predicted model, not a curated record. The transcript has 3 exons.
AAAGUAAUACUAUAUUAAAUACCUGAAUUACAUAUUUACCACAUGCACACCGUCAUACAUGAACUGGAUUUAAGCUGGUAAGAACCUUUGGGACCUGAGAUUUCUAGUUUCAGGACAGGGUUUGUUUUAAUUCACAGGCCUGGCUGUUAAGGACAUUGGAUCUUGGCUGUGUCUCGUGUUGCCCGUGAGGCUCAGGGCUCUGCAGAAUUAGGUCAGCUCUGAUUUCUCUGGGGAAAGAAACCACCACCACACAUCAGAAAAACAAACCACCAAAACCUGUUUCAAAUCCCUCUGAACCCUUCAGAAUACUGGGUGUGUGCUGUGGUCCUCCGUGGUAAGAGACAACAUGAUUAAUGUUACUUCAGCAAAGUUUGUGUAGUGUCUCCUAGGAACAGUAGUUUCUGCAUCACUGCCUUAUGCCUAAGUUUGGCAAGGUUAAGAGAAACGCCCUGAAUUUGUUCAAAGAAGCCUUUCAGGUGGUACAAUGGAAUAAAUGAAUACAAAAAAUACAGGAUUCUCAUUUUAUACUUGCAUUAAAAACAGCUAAUUGCAUACUGA